This 774-nucleotide ribosomal RNA is filed under the name uncultured Neocallimastigales. RNAcentral describes it as "partial large subunit ribosomal RNA". It matches the Rfam family "Eukaryotic large subunit ribosomal RNA", at positions 22 to 628 of the family's 3401-position model. Lineage: Eukaryota; Fungi; Neocallimastigomycota; Neocallimastigomycetes; Neocallimastigales. The record is from RNAcentral.
UACACGCUGUGACUAGCAUAUCAAUAAGCGGAGGAAAAGAAACUAACUAGGAUUCCCUCAGUAACGGCGAGUGAAGCGGGAAGAGCUCAAAUUUGAAAUCUUCAAGGUUCUACCUUGACGAAUUGUAGUUUAAAGAAGUGUUUUCUGUUGGAGUUUUGGUAAAAGUUCUUUGGAAUAGGACAUCAUAGAGGGUGAGAAUCCCGUAUUUGACCAUUAUUUCCAGCUUUGUGAUACACUUUCAAAGAGUCGGAUUGUUUGGGAAUGCAGUCCAAAAUGGGUGGUAAAUUUCAUCUAAAGCUAAAUACUGGCGAGAGACCGAUAGCGAACAAGUACCGUGAGGGAAAGAUGAAAAGAACUUUGAAAAGAGAGUUAAACAGUACGUGAAAUUGUCAAAAGGGAAGCGUUUGACACCAGUGUUGUUUUCUCGAAAAUCAAUUAAAAAAGGCAGGAUUUUGUGUUGUAUUGACUUUAUCAGCUUUCUGCACUCCUUUCUUGUCUUUUUUAAUGCACUUUUCGUUUAACAAGUCAACAUCAAUUUCUUUUGUUGUAAAAGGGUCAUUGAGAAGGUGGCUUUCUUUUCGGAGAAAGUGUUUAUAGCCUUUGGCCUCUGCAAUCGGAGAGAUUGAGGUCUGCAGCGUAGAUCCUUCGGGGUUAGAUACAUUUGUGCUAAGUUAUAGCCUUUCAUAGACAACUUGUUGACUAUGAUCAGUCAUGUAGCUUACUCGCUUAUGCUAUUUUACCUACGCUUAGGAUGUUGAAGACUCUACAGAGAUA